This is a non-coding RNA of Physeter macrocephalus (sperm whale), 73 nucleotides long. The record is from the annotation of a RefSeq genome assembly. NCBI's taxonomy places the organism in Eukaryota, Metazoa, Chordata, Mammalia, Artiodactyla, Physeteridae.
UCCCUGGUGGUCCAGUGGUUAGGACUCUGCACUCCGAAGGCAGAGGCCCUGGGUUCGAUCCCUGGUCUGGGCA